This 496-nucleotide ribosomal RNA is filed under the name uncultured bacterium. RNAcentral's name for it is "partial 16S ribosomal RNA". It matches the Rfam family "Bacterial small subunit ribosomal RNA", at positions 28 to 506 of the family's 1533-position model. The record is from RNAcentral.
GAUGAACGCUGGCGGCGUGCCUAAUACAUGCAAGUCGAGCGAACGGACGAGAAGCUUGCUUCUCUGAUGUUAGCGGCGGACGGGUGAGUAACACGUGGAUAACCUACCUAUAAGACUGGGAUAACUUCGGGAAACCGGAGCUAAUACCGGAUAAUAUUUUGAACCGCAUGGUUCAAAAGUGAAAGACGGUCUUGCUGUCACUUAUAGAUGGAUCCGCGCUGCAUUAGCUAGUUGGUAAGGUAACGGCUUACCAAGGCAACGAUGCAUGGCCGACCUGAGAGGGGGAUCGGCCACACUGGAACUGAGACACGGUCCAGAAUCCUACGGGAGGCAGCAGUAGGGAAUCUUCCGCAAUGGGCGAAAGCCUGACGGAGCAACGCCGCGUGAGUGAUGAAGGUCUUCGGAUCGUAAAACUCUGUUAUUAGGGAAGAACAGAUGUGUAAGUAACUGUGCACAUCUUGACGGUACCUAAUCAGAAAGCCACGGCUAACUACGU